Molecule: ribosomal RNA, 292 nt
Filed under: uncultured bacterium
Lineage: Bacteria
Also listed under: 1 other name
Description: partial 16S ribosomal RNA
Source: RNAcentral
GGACUACUGGGGUAUCUAAUCCUGUUUGCUCCCCUAGCUUUCGUGCCUCAGUGUCAGGAAGUGUCCAGGGACUCGCCUUCGCCACUGGUGUUCCUCUCGAUAUCUACGCAUUUCACUGCUACACCGAGAAUUCCAGUCCCCCCUCCACUCCUCAAGCCAAAUAGUAUCCAAUGCCAUUUCCAGGUUGAGCCUGGAGAUUUCACAUCGGACUUACCUGACCACCUACGCACCCUUUACGCCCAGUGAAUCCGAACAACGCUUGGGACCUCUGUAUUACCGCGGCGGCUGGCAC